ACACAAUAAGGGGAAGUGCAGUGCACAAGAACCAUAACUCUAUCUAAAGUAAUUACAGAGUUAUUGCCCUUUGUUGCUUUUCAAUUGCCUUCUGUUUUUGUCCGGAGCAUAACUUGAAGACUAAUGGUUGGAAUUCAAUAUAACUACAUACAAUGGUCAAGCACAUUGAGAGAAGUGCAAUGCACAAGAACCAUAACUCCAUUUUGACUUAUUACAGAGUUACUGCUCUUUGUUUCUUUUCCUUGUCCAGAGCAUGACUUUAAAACUACUGGUUGGUAUUCAAAACAACUUCAUACAAUGGUCAAGCACAAUAAGGGAAAGUGCAGUGCACAAGAACCAUAACUCCAUCUUGACUAAUUACAGAGUUACUGCCCUUUGUUACUUUUCCUUGUCCAGAGCAUGACUUGAAAACUACUGGUUGGAAUACAAAACAACUUCAUACAAUGGUCAAGCACAAUAAGGGGAAGUGCAGUGCAUAAGAAUCAUAACUCCAUCUUGACUAAUUACAUAGUUAUUGCCCUUUUUUACUUUUCCUUGUCCAGAGCAUAACUUGAAAACUACUGUUUGGAAUUCAGUACAACUUCAUACAGUUGUCAAGGACAUUCAAAGGAAGUGCAGUGCACAAGAGCCAUAACUCCAUUUUGACAAAAUACAGAGUUACUGCCCUUUGAUACUUUUCCUUGUCCGGAGCAUAACUUAAAACGUACUAGUUGGAAUUCAAAACAACUUCAUACAAUGGUCAAGCACAAUAAGAGAAAGUGCAGUGCACAAGAACUAUAACUUUAUCUUCAGUAUUUAUAGAGUUAUUGCCCUUUGUUCUUUUUCUUUGUCUUUCUGGACUUAUUACAGAGUAAUUCAAUUAAACUUCAUCAAUGGCCAACCACAUUGAAAGGAAAUGCAACCUACAUGAACCACAAUUAUCUUUAAUUGCCCACAACCAUAACUCUAUGUUUCAAUUCUUUUGCAAGGUAUUCUGUUACUAGUAAUAUCCUCAUUUCCGAAGCAGACUUGUGGGGGUAUUAAUCACAUCUAGUGAUAGUUCUAGUUGAUUUUUGUUCUUAUAUUUUUACAAAGUCCUUUAUAGUGAAGUAGGUACCAUAUUGUUGACAAGCAUACAUGUAUAUCUCAAACUAUUAAGUUAACACAUUUGUUGAGCAGAAGCGUGUCCAUUUGGAGAUACCCCUUACAAAAUUCCGGGCCUGUUCGUUGGUUGUUCCGAAUUUCUUGGAUCUCCUAAAGAAACUUACAAUUGUUACUAUGAACCAUUAUGGCAACACUGCUGUUUUACUUGUGAAGCUAUAAAGAAAUCUAACACGGCGUAUAAAGAUUGUGACUAUGGAGAUAAAAAGCCAUUUUGUGUAGGAAUGUCAUUACAACAGUGUCGAAAUAACUUUGAAACUUGCUGUAAAACAUGCCAAGAUAUACGAUUAGAUAUUCCAGGUUGUCCUUGGGGUGAUGAAUAUACUGACUGUACUCAGAGUCAUUGCACCAGUGAUUUUUCGAAAUGUUGCCAAACCUGUACCCCAACUACUACAGCUAUUUAUACAACCGCCUCCGCUAAAUCGAGCCGAGUGCAAGUUAGCCCCGCGUUAUUGUUCUGUUUGUAUUUAUAUCAAUUUUAUUCAUGGAUUCUGUCGAUACGUUGAUAUAUUUAUUUUAAUUGUACUGGGGUAAAAAUUAUGCAUUAGGUUAAACCAUCGGGAUCUUUUUAUUGCAUUUUUUGCAGAAAUUUUCCCCGUGCAACAUGCCGAUACUUUACUUUUUUCAUUUUUUAUUGUUACUUCACUUUCAGUCGUCAUGCAACGUUUAAUACUGAUCUAUCCAACAUAAUUCGAUUAAACUUUAAAUCAUUUCACUUAAUCGAAGAUAUAAUAUAAUCUUUCUCAUAGAAUUUUAGCAAAUUUUGGCAGUUUUUAGUUAAUUCCCAAAGAAAAGUUUUUAAAAGAGCACUUUAAUUGAAAAGGUUAAAACGUAGGAUAGCGAACUUCGUUGUUUUUAUCAUUUUUUUCUUAAAUAAAAUCCAUUUUACCAUGCAAAGCUUAAGAAAAGUAUCUGCUCUACUUUAAAUAUUCAUUCUUUUCCGCUGUAAAAUAUUAAAAAUUUGAUGUUGUCAUUGUGUCUUUGUUAUCGCUGAAGUAAAAGUUUAGGGUAUUUUGCAAGUUUGCCAGAAAUAUUUUGAACAAGAAACUAUGAUAUAACAGGAUGGCAUUUAUUUCGGUAAUGACACUGUAUUUCUUCGGUAACGUAGAUUUCAGAUCUAAUAAUGUAACAUAUUGGCUGCAUAUUAAUAACAAAUGUCUGUAAAAUAUACCCAAAUCUGUAAAUGUUCUAUCUAGAGGGACUUUCUAACCCAGGAAAAUUCAAAGAAGUUUGGUACCUUGCUAAUUUUCAGUCAAUUUCUUAAAUAUUCGUAGAAAGCAAAAAUAGUCAAUUUUGGAAAUGAUUAUUUUAUGUCUUCAUUCAAAGGAUAUAUAUCAUAUAUAAUAUAUGAGAGGUCGAAUGCAUACACAAAUUUUGUAUUAGCAUUUUUUUUCCAAAACAUUCAACUUUCCACUUUCUUAAUAUUUGGAAAAUUUAGUACAAAGCAGUUCGAUAUUUAUCCCCAUAUAGGAUGUCACGUAUGUUUCAUUUUAUUCAAAUGCAAGCAAAGGUUGAGUAAACAAUUUUAUUUUUUGUAAAAUAAUUUAUAUUUAUGGAUAUUAUUUUAACAUCAUUAUAAUAUAGAAUGAAAUACGGCCAGUUAGCUUUUUGCAGAAACGAAUUAGUUGUUGCUGAGAACAUCAAUAUCUUGUAAUAUAUUUUCAACAUUUCUGCUGAUACAUCAACAUAUUAUUAACAUAUCUUUCCUUUGUAAAAACAAUUUUGUGUCUUCUUACAUCUAAUACAAGGUAACCGUUACUAACAGGCAUGCUAAUCCCAACUUUAUCUUUAAUUUUCAAAAGUUGUUGAAUUGUAAGUUGGAGUAACGUAUGUUUCACACUCGCUUAUUUAAGAACUUUAUCACGGAAUUUAAACUUACAUGUAAAAUCGACUUUUUUUAUUUAGGAAUCAAAUGCACAUCAUUCUAUUGUCAUAAAAAUGCGAUUUUAUGUUUUUAUAUAUGCAUGUGUAAACAAUAUAAAGUCUGUUUGAUAAAAGUAACGUUUGUUUCACUGUGGUUACUUAAACAAGCAAAAACUCGACCAAAGUUAACAAAAUUUACUUACUAAUGUCAAAUAGAUGUUAAUGUUGCUGUUAUACCCGCUUUCUGACUACAAUUUUCCUUUUUAUAAACUUACUUUAAAAAGUUGAUAACGUAUGUUUAUGUAACGUAUGUUUCAUUUUUACAUUGAAAGUGGGUUAAAAAAUGACGCAAGACCGUUUAAGCCGCCAUAAUUUGUGGUUAAUUUAUCAGUGUUACACACAUGUAAAUUUUCUUUCUUGUUUGGAAUCUUCUUUGAAUGGAUUGGCUCUUAAAUAAUGGUAACGUAUGUUUAUUUUUAAAGUGCUGUUGAAAAGAUUUGAAUAAAAAAUGAACAUUUCCGAAAAUAGAAUGAUAUUUGAGAGGCUGCAAGCUUAUUUUUACUUAUAAUUAUUAAUAUGCUGUAUUAUUAAGCAUGCAUCGAUUCAAUUAUGUAAUUUGAGUUUCACUUCUUAUUGUUAUAGGUUUGUCACUAUUUAUUUAUAUGCAUUUGGCGACAUUUGAUCAUCCUUUAUACCAAUGAAAUUUUAACAGUCAAAUAUAAUUUUUACCAAUAAUCAAAGUUCAUAUACACACAGCAAUGACUAAUUGCACAUGUUUUAUUCUGGAACUUAUUUUUCUGAAACACAAUUUCAAAGUUGAAAAUUCCAGGUGGCGACAGUAACGUAUGUUACAUUUUAGGACAUUAAUGGUACUUGUAAAUGGUAAAUACUAAAUAACAGAUAGAAAUGUAAAACUGAGAGUGCCCCUAUUAGACAAAGUGACAGCCACCUUUCUAACGACAUUUUGACCUCAAGAAAAACCUUCGUAUAAGAGCUAACCAGUGGAACAUCAAAUUUUGUGUUUUAUUGAGAAUGAGCGUGUAUUGGAUUGUGACUGGCCAUGAGAAACAGUAAACUUGGCAACUAAAUACAUUGUACCACUUUAUCAGUUUUCAAUCUUAAUGAAAUCAAAUCGAGCCUUUAGAUAAAAGUCGUUUGCACUGUUGUCAAUGAUCUGUAGGGGUCCAUGUAAAAGGCGAUGCUAGAUUAUAUAUUAUUACAUAGCAAAUUCAGUAAUAACUUUAGCAAAUCUGUCAGUCAUUUGCUAAAAAAGGAAAUGUAGGUCGGCAACAAGAUAGCUUUAUUUUGAAAUGGGCAUGUCAUUUCAUAAUCUCUGGAUUAUUGUCAAUGUUUUUAUACAAAAAAAGCCCAUGGUUGAAAUGAACUUUCAUAGAUUAAAUGGUUAUCUUUACAAAAUAAAUACAAACAUACUUUGAGUUUUCACUUAUUUUAAAAGUUAUUAGUUAUUAUUCAACCAUAUUUUCACCAUUUUCAGUUUACCCUUUAAAGGGUACAAAGCUAUAUUUCAUGAAAUAUAUUUAUAACAUUUAUCAAAAUUUACAUAAUAUAUUAUAUACAUAUUUUUCACAAUCUCAUGGUCGAUUCUUAUAAAGAGUUUUUAACAUAGAAUGUCCCUGUAAUUGGAUACUCCUGAAUACUACACGUAAACAGAAUAAAAUAUUGCAGAACAGACUACAUAAGGUUAAAUCUAUUUAGCAGUGAUUUCAUAAUACGUCAUUUGCUUUUAAAAAUAUUUACAUAUUUAUUUCAUAUAAGCAUUUCAUAUAAGCAUUUUGGAAGUCUUUCUUUUUCAUUCAAACAACAACUUUUGCAGCAGAUCUAAACAUAGCUUUAUACACUUAAAUUAUCAUUGUGAUUUGUGAAACUCUAUUUGUUUUAAGUCAUAAAUGAAAAAAAGGGUUUAAAUUGUCAAACGUACUGACAGUAACGUUGUGCUAAUGAAAUAAAAAUAGAAAUAAUAGUUGUAAAGAGACUAUAGAAAACAUAUUAUUUCUGUUGUAAAUUUGCAAUAAAAGGUGAAAAUAAAAGAGCUUCUGAAUAAAAAUACAA
Long non-coding RNA from Ruditapes philippinarum (Manila clam), 5073 nucleotides. RefSeq lists it as uncharacterized. The record is from RefSeq and is a predicted model, not a curated record. NCBI's taxonomy places the organism in Eukaryota, Metazoa, Mollusca, Bivalvia, Venerida, Veneridae. The transcript has 3 exons.